GGUGCUGGGUUCGAGGUAUAUUGA
This 24-nucleotide non-coding RNA is filed under the name Arabidopsis thaliana (thale cress). Lineage: Eukaryota; Viridiplantae; Streptophyta; Magnoliopsida; Brassicales; Brassicaceae. The record is from RNAcentral.